RNAcentral lists this ribosomal RNA (425 nucleotides) under uncultured bacterium. RNAcentral describes it as "partial 16S ribosomal RNA". It matches the Rfam family "Bacterial small subunit ribosomal RNA", at positions 354 to 796 of the family's 1533-position model. The record is from RNAcentral.
GUGGGGAAUAUUGGACAAUGGGCGAAAGCCUGAUCCAGCAAUGCCGCGUGAGUGAUGAAGGCCUUAGGGUUGUAAAGCUCUUUUACCAGGGAUGAUAAUGACAGUACCUGGAGAAUAAGCUCCGGCUAACUCCGUGCCAGCAGCCGCGGUAAUACGGAGGGAGCUAGCGUUGUUCGGAAUUACUGGGCGUAAAGCGCACGUAGGCGGUUACUCAAGUCAGAGGUGAAAGCCCGGGGCUCAACCCCGGAACUGCCUUUGAAACUAGGUAACUAGAAUCUUGGAGAGGUCAGUGGAAUUCCGAGUGUAGAGGUGAAAUUCGUAGAUAUUCGGAAGAACACCAGUGGCGAAGGCGACUGACUGGACAAGUAUUGACGCUGACGUGCGAAAGCGUGGGGAGCAAACAGGAUUAGAAACCCCGGUAGUCC